GGUUACGAUCAUGCCAGCACUAAUGCACCGGAUCCCUUCAGAACUCCGCAGUUAAGCAUGCUUGGGCGAGAGUAGUACUAGGAUGGGUGACCCCCUGGGAAGUCCUCGUGUUGCAACCC
This 119-nucleotide ribosomal RNA is filed under the name Helianthus annuus (common sunflower). Lineage: Eukaryota; Viridiplantae; Streptophyta; Magnoliopsida; Asterales; Asteraceae. The record is from RNAcentral.